RNAcentral lists this ribosomal RNA (457 nucleotides) under uncultured bacterium. RNAcentral's name for it is "bacterial SSU rRNA". It matches the Rfam family "Bacterial small subunit ribosomal RNA", at positions 28 to 507 of the family's 1533-position model. The record is from RNAcentral.
GACGAACGCUGGCGGCGUGCCUAACACAUGCAAGUCGAACGGAGCACUUCGGUGCUUAGUGGCGAACGGGUGAGUAACGCGUGAGCAACCUACCUUUCAGUGGGGGACAACAGUUGGAAACGACUGCUAAUACCGCAUAUGCCAUAAUCACCACAUGGUGAUAGUGGGAAAGGAGCAAUCCGCUGAUAGAUGGGCUUGCGUCUGAUUAGAUAGUUGGUGGGGUAACGGCCUACCAAGUCGACGAUCAGUAGCCGGUCUGAGAGGAUGAACGGCCACAUUGGGACUGAGAUACGGCCCAGACUCCUACGGGAGGCAGCAGUGGGGAAUAUUGGGCAAUGGGGGAAACCCUGACCCAGCAACGCCGCGUGAAGGAAGAAGGCCUUCGGGUUGUAAACUUCUUUAGUAGGGACGAAGAACGUGACGGUACCUACAGAAAAAGACAACGGCUAACUACGUG